Pieris rapae (cabbage white) is the source of this 618-nucleotide long non-coding RNA. RefSeq lists it as uncharacterized. The transcript is spliced from 3 exons. NCBI's taxonomy places the organism in Eukaryota, Metazoa, Arthropoda, Insecta, Lepidoptera, Pieridae. The record is from RefSeq and is a predicted model, not a curated record.
CCCCAGUGAUAAGUCGAAGACUAUGAUUUUGAAUGACAUCCAAUUUGUGAAGCAGUUGGUUAUUUGAAGCAAAACAAAAGAAACUGUAUUCAAAGUGGCUACGAACAAGAGAUUUUUAUAGAGUUAAAAGAAUUUUAGGAUCAGAGCCCCAGUAUGUUCCAGCAAGAGACCUCAAAAUAUUCAGUGCCUUUGUAGCUCUGUCAGUUACACAAUCAACAUAUUUACCCCAGGAUACAUUGUUAAGAAACAACACACCCAAGAACUUAGCUUCUGUUACAGCUGGGAGUUCUGUACUCUCAUAAUAUAAUUUGACCUGAAAAGGCCUUCCUUUAUUGAAUACUAAUACUUUGGAUUUCUCUAUACUUAUGUCUAAGGCAAGAUAAUUAAAAUAGGCAGACCAAUGGAAACAAGCUCUGAAGACAGAAUAUGAUGAUUUACGUUAUUGAAAGCCCCUACUACAUCAAAAAAUACACUGGCCAAAACAUUAUUGGAUUUGAAUGCUUGAAAGAUGUCCAAAUGUAAAUGGGCAAUACUCUCUCUAGAAGAUCUGCCCUUUCUAAACCCAAAUUGAUUAGAAGAUGAUAUUGCUGACAUUAAUUCGGCAAAUGAAAAUGGUUC